AUUGAACGCUGGCGGCAAGCCUAACACAUGCAAGUCGAACAAGUGGCGGACGGGUGAGUAAUGUCUGGGAAACUGCCUGAUGGAGGGGGAUAACUACUGGAAACGGUAGCUAAUACCGCAUACCAUCGGAUGUGCCCAGAUGGGAUUAGCUAGUAGGUGGGGUAAAGGCUCACCUAGGCGACGAUCCCUAGCUGGUCUGAGGGGAUGACAAGAACCACUGGAACUGGGACACGGUCCAGCCCCCUACGGGAGGAAGCAGGGGGGAAUAUUGCACAAGGGGCGCAAGCCUGAUGCAGCAAUGCGGGGUGUAUGAAGAAGGCCUUCGGGUUGUAAAGUACUUUCAGCGGGAAGGCGUUACCCGCAGAAGAAGCACCGGCUAACUCCGUGCCAGCAGCCGCGGUAAUAC
RNAcentral lists this ribosomal RNA (406 nucleotides) under uncultured bacterium. RNAcentral's name for it is "partial 16S ribosomal RNA". It matches the Rfam family "Bacterial small subunit ribosomal RNA", at positions 29 to 526 of the family's 1533-position model. The record is from RNAcentral.